GACGAACGCUGGCGGCGUGCUUAACACAUGCAAGUCGAACGCUGAAGCACCAGCUUGCUGGUGUGGAUGAGUGGCGAACGGGUGAGUAAUACGUGAGUAACCUGCCCUUGACUCUGGGAUAAGCCCGGGAAACUGGGUCUAAUACUGGAUGCUACAUGUCACCGCAUGGUGGUGUGUGGAAAGGGUUUACUGGUCUUGGAUGGGCUCACGGCCUAUCAGCUUGUUGGUGAGGUAAUGGCUCACCAAGGCGACGACGGGUAGCCGGCCUGAGAGGGUGACCGGCCACACUGGGACUGAGACACGGCCCAGACUCCUACGGGAGGCAGCAGUGGGGAAUAUUGCACAAUGGGCGAAAGCCUGAUGCAGCGACGCCGCGUGAGGGAUGACGGCCUUCGGGUUGAAAAACUCUUUCAGCAGGGAAGAAGCCACAAGUGACGGUACCUGCAGAAGAAGCGCCGGCUAACUACGUG
This 470-nucleotide ribosomal RNA is filed under the name uncultured bacterium. Its description in RNAcentral is "partial 16S ribosomal RNA". It matches the Rfam family "Bacterial small subunit ribosomal RNA", at positions 28 to 507 of the family's 1533-position model. The record is from RNAcentral.